UGGGGAAUAUUGGACAAUGGGCGCAAGCCUGAUCCAGCCAUGCCGCGUGGGUGAAGAAGGCCUUCGGGUUGUAAAGCCCUUUUGGCGGGGACGAUGAUGACGGUACCCGCAGAAUAAGCCCCGGCUAACUUCGUGCCAGCAGCCGCGGUAAGACGAAGGGGGCAAGCGUUGUUCGGAAUUACUGGGCGUAAAGGGCGCGUAGGCGGCCUUUUAAGUCAGCCGUGAAAGGCCUGGGCUCAACCUGGGAAUUGCGGUUGGGACUGGAAGGCUGGAGAGCGGGAGAGGAUGGUGGAAUUCCCAGUGUAGAGGUGAAAUUCGUAGAUAUUGGGAAGAACACCGGUGGCGAAGGCGGCCAUCUGGACCGUAUCUGACGCUGAGGCGCGAAAGCGUGGGGAGCAAACAGG
RNAcentral lists this ribosomal RNA (404 nucleotides) under uncultured bacterium. RNAcentral describes it as "bacterial SSU rRNA". It matches the Rfam family "Bacterial small subunit ribosomal RNA", at positions 355 to 776 of the family's 1533-position model. The record is from RNAcentral.